Long non-coding RNA from Manis pentadactyla (Chinese pangolin), 1865 nucleotides. RefSeq lists it as uncharacterized. The transcript has 2 exons. The record is from RefSeq and is a predicted model, not a curated record. NCBI's taxonomy places the organism in Eukaryota, Metazoa, Chordata, Mammalia, Pholidota, Manidae.
UUCUCUGCCACCCCAAGGCCAACAGUCCCAGCCAAAGGCCCCCACUGCUCCUGAGCCCCUUCCCCCAAGCCCUGUUGGAAAUCACGCCCCUUGGGGAAAGGGAGGGUGACCCCUGAUGCCUUGUAGCUGAGAACUAUGCAUGUCAAAGGGCACAGCUGGCCGUGCAAGCACCCACUCUGGGAGCACUCCCCCAUGUAAGGGUCCAGUCUGGGCCAGCUUCCCUGAGAAACCAUGCUUCUCCCCCAGAUCACCAGCAUUUACAGACUAGGACAAUGCAGGUCGUGGAGGGGGAAAGGUCAGCCUGGGGGAUGCCCACCAAGUGGCCUAGGACAAGUGUCCCAGUCCCCGAGCCACAGGUUCCCAGAGGAUGGAGAUGCCCGGCCUCCAAGGUGGUUGUGAGGAGUAGGUGGGGUCGGGAGUAAAGGUGCUCUGGGACCCAGUCUCCAUAAACAGGAAGGGCCCUGAGAUGAGCUGGUGGCUGGUUCCUGCGAGGAAAACAGCUUCAGAGAAGAGAAGCAGAUUCUCUCCACCUGCUACAAACCAGCACACACUGGCAUGAGUCCUCAGUGAGCAAAUGUGUUAACGAGCCCCAAAGAGAGAGGCCUUGGGGUCUGCUGCUCGCUUGGGUCAAUUACUGUCCCUCCCUUGAGCAAAGGGGCUCAGAGGAGGGAGCGAGGACCAGUCAAGGCUUGGAUCCCACAGAACUGGGGUAGACUACAAAUUUGGCUGUUAAUUUCUUUUUUCCCAGUAGCUGCUAGGAAGCUAUCAUCAGACACAAAUUCUCUUAAACAAAAAGCAAACUUAUUUCUCAGGAAAAGCUUCCCUCUUCCUCACAGGGAAACCACUGCAGUGUACCCUGCAUGCUCUCAGAGUGAUGUGCAGGGAAUGGCACCCCAUUUAGAGGGGAGUGCGAUCAGGGUCCUACACCUUCACAACCACAGCUCAGGCAUGGCCCUGGAGAGAUGUGAGGCUAGCCCAGUGGCCCCUUCACAUCACCACCAAGCCCACAUUUGGCUGUGCACCGUGCAGGCUGCGGGCAUCCCCCAACAGCGGGGUGACAGAGGUAUUGGGGUGGGUGGCACCAUGCGCUCAAGAUUCACAGGACAUGGCACGCCUACCUGAUUGGCAUGGCAGUAAAUCGUCCUAUACAGCUUCUGUUUUUAAAAAUAAUUAUGAUACCAUAGAGUUCAAGUCAGGAACAGAACUGUAGGGUAAUACAGAUUGGUGGCCUUACCGUGGCCUGCUGUAACUGACCCUGUUUGAGCUCGGCCUUGGUUCUGUCACCUGGGAGAGCCAUGGGGCUUUGCUGUCAUGGGAUGGGAGUGGCAACACCCUGCCCCCACCCGGGCCCCGGCAUGCAGCCAGGUGCACACGGAGAUGAGAGCCCAGAGGGGCAGGCAGAACCUGGGGCUGUUGCCAGAGCACCCCGGUUUGUUGGCCCCUUCCCUGGUCCCCAGACGGGGAGGUUUUCUCCAAACCCAGCUGAAGAGUCUGUCUUUCCCACCCAUGCCCCAGGGCCCAGCCAGGCAGAGGCAGAGACUACUGGCUAAGAGUUAACUGGUCCAAGGUGGGGCAGACUCUUCUUCCACUUUCAACACAUCAAUGACCAAGGACAGGACAAGCUCCUCCAGGAACUGAGAGCCACCAGGGGCAGCAGUUGCUGGCGACAGCCGCCCUGCAGCCUGCCAGCCUGUGGGCAGGCAGGGAGCCGUGGCCAGCAUCCCACUGGCACCAGGUGAAGCUAAGGCACAGCACAGGCACCCACGGGUGUGAGCAAGUGUGACCAGACACUGCUUGCAGGGAACAAACUUGCAUUCAUUUCAUCUGCAUUUCAAUCUGCUCAAAACACUAUGUGCACUUUUUUU